UACGUAGGGUGCGAGCGUUAAUCGGAAUUACUGGGCGUAAAGCGUGCGCAGGCGGUUUUGUAAGCCAGAUGUGAAAUCCCCGGGCUUAACCUGGGAACUGCAUUUGUGACUGCAUGGCUGGAGUGCGGCAGAGGGGGAUGGAAUUCCGCGUGUAGCAGUGAAAUGCGUAGAUAUGCGGAGGAACACCGGUGGCGAAGGCGGGUCUCUGGGCAAUUCCUGACGCUGAGGCGCGAAAGCGUGGGGAGCAAACGGG
RNAcentral lists this ribosomal RNA (253 nucleotides) under uncultured bacterium. RNAcentral describes it as "partial 16S ribosomal RNA". It matches the Rfam family "Bacterial small subunit ribosomal RNA", at positions 524 to 776 of the family's 1533-position model. The record is from RNAcentral.